ACACCUCUGUCUCUCUCUCAAAUCUCUCCUUCCUCUCUCUAAAAUCCCUUCUCCCUCUCUCUAGAAUCCCUUCUCUGCUUAAAUUUUACCCAGCUCUAAAUCUCUCAAAUCAAGAUGUGAAUCUCAUUUAUCAAGUUUGUGGUCAAAUCCCUAAUUUUUCCCUUUUUCUUUUAGGAAAAAAAGUGAAGUGCAUAAUGGACUUUUGUGGAGGAAGAAUCGCACAUCCGAUUUCUCUCCCUAAUCUCAAGUUGUUGGAAUACAAAAACAAAAUCAUACAAAAAGACUCAUUUGAACCUAUUUGGUGUUGUCUUGAAAGGACUCUCACCUAUCUCUUUUUUGGAGAAAUCCUAUUUCGUGGAAAAGGGUAUAGAAAGAAGCCUCCCAAAAAAGAGUCACGCAGAUCAGGCAAACAUAGAGUCCAGUGUAUCUUUUGCUAUGAAAAUUAUGCGUCAAGAGAUGCAAGCCGGCAUGGGUCGGAAGUUGUAGGAAGAACGUGAACAAAUGGUUGCUGAGUUGCAAAGGAAUAUGGAACUUGAGUUGCAAAGGAAGUUGGAACACGAGUUGUCCAGGAAGUUGGCAGAGGAGCGUGAACUCGUGAAUGUAAAAGUAGAGAAGAGGAUCCAACUAGAAGUGGAAAAGAAGAUGCAAGAACAAUUUGCUACUUUCAUGACCAGAAUGCAACAUGUACUUGCUCUGCUCCUUCUUAGCAAUUCUUCUUCCUUCUCGACAUUUCUUCUUCCUUCCUUCUUGAAAAUUCUUCUGAGACUGGCUUCCUAUCUUCUUUUCAACUUCUCCUCCUUUAACUUUUAUCUUCUUGAUGAAUCUAUACCUUGAUUUGAAGCUUGGCUAGGGUGAGUCUAUAUCAUUAGUGUUUGGAUCAUCCACAAGUUUAUCUUUUGAUAAUAGGUUGUUGGGUUGUUUUGUAUUUAUCUGAAAUCUAGAUUUUUCAAUUAGACAUAUAAAGAGUUUGAAA
This is a non-coding RNA of Nicotiana tabacum (common tobacco), 973 nucleotides long. The record is from RefSeq and is a predicted model, not a curated record. Lineage: Eukaryota; Viridiplantae; Streptophyta; Magnoliopsida; Solanales; Solanaceae.